CAGCCGCCGCGGGAAUACGAAGGGUGCAAGCGUUAAUCGGAAUUACUGGGCGUAAAGCGUGCGUAGGUGGUGAGUUAAGUCUGCUGUGAAAUCCCCGGGCUCAACCUGGGAAUGGCAGUGGAUACUGGCUCGCUAGAGUGUGUCAGAGGAUGGUGGAAUUCCCGGUGUAGCGGUGAAAUGCGUAGAGAUCGGGAGGAACAUCAGUGGCGAAGGCGGCCAUCUGGGACAACACUGACGCUGAGGCACGAAAGCGUGGGGAGCAAACAGGAUUAGAUACCCCCGUAGUCCCUGUCUCUUAUAA
RNAcentral lists this ribosomal RNA (301 nucleotides) under uncultured bacterium. Its description in RNAcentral is "partial 16S ribosomal RNA". It matches the Rfam family "Bacterial small subunit ribosomal RNA", at positions 509 to 809 of the family's 1533-position model. The record is from RNAcentral.